Molecule: ribosomal RNA, 499 nt
Filed under: uncultured bacterium
Lineage: Bacteria
Description: partial 16S ribosomal RNA
Rfam family: Bacterial small subunit ribosomal RNA
Source: RNAcentral
AUUGAACGCUGGCGGAAUGCUUUACGCAUGCAAGUCGAACGGCAGCACGGACUUCGGUCUGGUGGCGAGUGGCGAACGGGUGAGUAAUGUAUCGGAACGUGCCCAGUCGUGGGGAUAACGUAGUGAAAAUUACGCUAAUACCGCAUACGAUCUAUGGAUGAAAGCGGGGGAUCGCAAGACCUCGCGCGAUUGGAGCGGCCGAUAUCAGAUUAGGUAGUUGGUGGGGUAAAGGCCCACCAAGCCAACGAUCUGUAGCUGGUCUGAGAGGACGACCAGCCACACUGGAACUGAGACACGGUCCAGACUCCUACGGGAGGCAGCAGUGGGGAAUUUUGGACAAUGGACGCAAGUCUGAUCCAGCCAUUCCGCGUGCAGGAUGAAGGCCCUCGGGUUGUAAACUGCUUUUGUACGGAACGAAAAGGUCUCUCUUAAUACGGGGGGCUCAUGACGGUACCGUAAGAAUAAGCACCGGCUAACUACGUGCCAGCAGCCGCGGUAA